AGUGAACGCUGGCGGUAGGCCUAACACAUGCAAGUCGAACGGCAGCACAGUAAGAGCUUGCUCUUACGGGUGGCGAGUGGCGGACGGGUGAGGAAUACAUCGGAAUCUACUUUUUCGUGGGGGAUAACGUAGGGAAACUUACGCUAAUACCGCAUACGACCUACGGGUGAAAGCAGGGGAUCUUCGGACCUUGCGCGAUUGAAUGAGCCGAUGUCGGAUUAGCUAGUUGGCGGGGUAAAGGCCCACCAAGGCGACGAUCCGUAGCUGGUCUGAGAGGAUGUUCAGCCACACUGGAACUGAGACACGGUCCAGACUCCUACGGGAGGAAGCAGUGGGGAAUAUUGGACAAUGGGGGCAAGCCUGAUCCAGCCAUACCGCGUGGGUGAAGAAGGCCUUCGGGUUGUAAAGCCCUUUUGUUGGGAAAGAAAAGCAGCAGGUUAAUACCCCGCUGUUCUGACGGUACCCAAAGAAUAAGCACCGGCUAACUUCGUG
Molecule: ribosomal RNA, 492 nt
Filed under: uncultured bacterium
Lineage: Bacteria
Description: partial 16S ribosomal RNA
Rfam family: Bacterial small subunit ribosomal RNA
Source: RNAcentral